This 433-nucleotide ribosomal RNA is filed under the name uncultured bacterium. RNAcentral's name for it is "partial 16S ribosomal RNA". It matches the Rfam family "Bacterial small subunit ribosomal RNA", at positions 29 to 507 of the family's 1533-position model. The record is from RNAcentral.
AGCGAACGCUGGCGGCAGGCUUAACACAUGCAAGUCGAGCGGGCACUUCGGUGUCAGCGGCAGACGGGUGAGUAACACGUGGGAACGUACCCUUCGGUUCGGAAUAACGCUGGGAAACUAGCGCUAAUACCGGAUACGCCCUUUUGGGGAAAGGUUUACUGCCGAAGGGUCGGCCCGCGUCUGAUUAGCUAGUUGCUGGGGUAAUGGCCUACCAAGGCGACGAUCAGUAGCUGGUCUGAGAGGAUGAUCAGCCACACUGGGACUGAGACACGGCCCAGACUCCUACGGGAGGCAGCAGUGGGGAAUAUUGGACAAUGGGCGCAAGCCUGAUCCAGCCAUGCCGCGUGAGUGAUGAAGGCCUUAGGGUUGUAAAGCUCUUUUGUCCGGGACGAUAAUGACGGUACCGGAAGAAUAAGCCCCGGCUAACUUCGUG